Aethina tumida (small hive beetle) is the source of this 306-nucleotide long non-coding RNA. RefSeq lists it as uncharacterized. The record is from RefSeq and is a predicted model, not a curated record. Lineage: Eukaryota; Metazoa; Arthropoda; Insecta; Coleoptera; Nitidulidae. The transcript is spliced from 3 exons.
UUAGUUUAGAGGAUUGAGUUUCCCAUUAGGCUGCAUUACUUUUCUGAUCGGGGCCUUAUCUGUCUCUUUCUUGUACGCCUUGUGUGGAAUAAGAAUAAUAGAAUUCAAUGAUAUCAUCAGAGAAACAUUAUUAAAAACAAAAUGGUAUUUGUGGAAUACGAAGAACAGGAAGGCUUUGUUACUAUUUCUAACAAACACAGAGGAAAACUUAUGUUUGAAAGCUGGUCACUUUAUAAUCAACUACGAGCUAUAUAUUUGGAUGGUACACAAAGUUUUUAAUUUAUAUACUGCACUUUUGUGCUUGAA